UCGGUUCCAUUUUAGCUUCAAUUUCCUCUGGACCAUAAAAACAGUGGAGUUUACCCCCUCUCAGAGCACAGUACAGCCUUCUCCAGCCAACCAGACCUUUUCCUGUUUGCUGGAAGCGGAAAAAAAAAAAAAAAAAGUCAAGCAACUAUCAAUUAUCAAUUUCCAUCACAGCAACCUCAACUUUAACCCCAGCUCGGAAUCAGCUAUUCAUCGGCUGUACAGUUAAGUCGGAGCACCUCAAACCCAAGAGCGGAGAAGACGCCUGGAGUUCUCAGAAGCAUUAAGCAAAAUGAAGAACACUAGAAGAUGUUGACUACCUGGUAAGAAUGCAGAUUUUUCUUUCUUUCUAAUGGAAUCUUUUAGCAAAAAAAAA
RNAcentral lists this long non-coding RNA (373 nucleotides) under Mus pahari (shrew mouse). Its description in RNAcentral is "lncRNA (MGP_PahariEiJ_G0003950.1)". The record is from RNAcentral. Lineage: Eukaryota; Metazoa; Chordata; Mammalia; Rodentia; Muridae.